UUCAAAAGACAUAUAUGAUAAAGGCUGUUAUCCAAAAUACACAAAGAACUCUUAAAACUCAACAAAAAGAAAGGUGGGUAUGGGCGCUGGCUGGAGUUGCUCAGUGCUCACCAUCCUCUUCUCAAAGCCAUGUCUGUAAGACACCGUGGUGAAGGUGAAGGCCAGAGUAAAUAGAUUUGGCCAUAUUGAGCGCCUGGUCACCAGGGCUGCUUUUAACUCUAGUAAAGUAGAUAUUGUCGCCAUCAAUGACCCUUCAUUGACCUCAACUACAUGGUCAACAUCUUCCAGUAUUUCUACCCAUGGCAAAUCCCACUGCACCAUCAAGGCUGAGAAUGGGAAGCUUGUCAUUAAUGGAAAUCCCAUCACCAUCUUCCAGGAGCAAGAUCCCACCAAAAUCAAAUGGGGUGAUGCUGACGCUGAGUACGCUGUGGAGUCCACUGGCAUCUUCACGACCAUGGAGAAUCUCGGCCAGGGCUUACGUAACGGGGGAGCCAAAAGGGUCAUUAUCUCUACCCCCUCUGCUGAUGCCCCCAUGUUCAUAAUGGGCAUGAUCCAUGAGAAGUAUGAAAACAGCCUCAAGAUCAUCAGCAAUGCCUCCUGUACUACCAACUGCUUAAUCCCACUGACCAAGCCCACCCAUGACAACUCUGGCAUUGUGGAAGGACUCGUGACCCAGAAGACUGUGGAUGGUCUCCGUGGGAAACUGUGGCAUGAUGUCUGUGGGGCUCUCCAGAACAUCAUCCCUGUAUCUACUGGUGCUGCCAAGACUGUAGGCAAGGCCAUCCCCGAGCUGAACAGGAAGCUCACUGACAUGGCCUUCCAUGUUCCCUUCUGCAAAUGUGUUGGUUGUGGACCUGACCUGCCAUCUGGAGAAACCUGCCAAAUAUGAUGACAUCAAAAAGGUGGUGAAGCAGGCGUUGGAGGGCCCCUCAAGGGCAUCCUGGGCUACGCUGAACACCAGGUUGUUUCCUCUGACUUGAACAGUGACACCCACUUUUCCACUUUCAGUGCUGGGGCUGGCUUUGCCCUCAGUGACCACUUUGUCAAGAUCAUUUCCUCAUAUAACAAUGAAUUUGGCCACAGCAACAGGGUGGUGGCCCAUAUGGCCUCCAAGGAGUAAGACUCCUUGACAGCCAGCCCCAGUGAGAGCACAAGAGGAAGAGAGAGACCUUCAGCUUCUGGGGAGUCCCUGUCACCCUCAGUCCCCCACCACACUUGGAAUCUCCCCUCCUCACAAUUUCCAUGCAGACCCCACAAAGCUCUACCUUGUCGUGUACCAUCAAUGAAGUCCCCUGUACUCAAAAAAAAAAAAAAAGAAAGAAAA
Molecule: RNA transcript, 1324 nt
Organism: Cercocebus atys (sooty mangabey)
Lineage: Eukaryota; Metazoa; Chordata; Mammalia; Primates; Cercopithecidae
Gene name: glyceraldehyde-3-phosphate dehydrogenase pseudogene
Exons: 1
Source: RefSeq, a predicted model, not a curated record